RNAcentral lists this long non-coding RNA (4297 nucleotides) under Homo sapiens (human). RNAcentral describes it as "HSALNT0394569". The record is from RNAcentral. Lineage: Eukaryota; Metazoa; Chordata; Mammalia; Primates; Hominidae.
AGAAGCACCAUCACCUUCCUUCUGUGUCCCUCCACAAAGCCAGUUGGGACUUCUAGAUAUUUUUGAAGGCAUAUUGAACUAGAUGGUGUUCUAGGGUACUAAUUUCAAGCUGUUGUUCUCCUAACCAUGCCACCAUAGCAGCAAUUUUAUUCUGAUGCAUAGAUUUGUAUAGAGAGGGUAAGAAAUUAUUCCAUGAAGUGAUCCCUUCUCAGAAUUUUAAAUAAGAAAUGGAAAAACUUUCUGUACUCUCAGAGUUUUCAUAAUUUCCCCUGGGGUAGGAGGGCAGGUGCAGAAGGGAACGGAACAAAGAUAAAGAAACAGCCACGUGGACGUGUGGUGGAAGAUCGUUUGAAGGAGGAGAAGAGCAAGUCAAAGGCCCUGAGGCAAGAGCACACUGGGCAUGUUCAAGGGGAUUCUGGGAGUUGGAAGAGGCCAACUUUUCCUACCUGCAGUUUGAAGAUUAAGGACUUAGAGAUUUGUUGAGAGGCUGCUUCCGAGAGGUUACUGAUACACUGAGGACAGGAACUACUGACUACUCUGAAUGAGGGAAAAACAUCCAGUUUGGGGUGAUCCUGUUUUGCAAUGGCAGCUGUCAGCCAUAACAUGGUGGGAAAUAACGGUAAAUAAACCUCCUGUGAUUGGCAAGAAUAUAAAAAAAGGUCGUGAAUUGUGAAUUCUUAGGUCUACUUGAGAGAAGACAUAUUUAGAAAAACAUCAAAUCAUUAAACAACCUGCUUUUGAAUAAAAUCUAAAUGAACCAAACUCUUUAGCAAAUGUCCAUUUUGAAAAUUUAGCUUUUUGGUUAAUUGUAUAUUUAUAAGUUAUAUUAGCUUCCUAUUCUGCUGUCACAAAUCACCACAAAGUGAGUGCCUUAAAAGAACACGAAUUUACUAUCUUAUAGUCUGAAGGUCAGAAGUCCAGAAUGGAUCUUACGGGGCUAGAAUCAAGGUGCUAGCAGGACUGGUUUCUUCAGGAAACUCUAGAAGAUAAUCUGUUUCUUGCUUUGUCCCACUUCCAAAGGCUACUGGCCUUGGUUUGUGGCCCCAUCACGCCCACCUCUGCUUCUUGUCAUUAUAUUACCUUGUCUUCUGAUUCUGACACCUCCUGUAUCCCUUUUAUAAGGACCCUUGUGAUUACAUCAGGCCCAACUGACUAAUCCAGAAUAAUCUCCCCACUCAAAAUCCUUAACACAUUUGCAAAGUCCCAUUUGUCAUGUAAAAUAACACUUAUGAUUCUAGGGUUUAGGAUGUGGGACAUCUUUGGGGAGCUCUUAUUCAGCCUAUGAAACAAGUCAACUCUUCCUUUUUUAGCCAUGUGGUUCUAAAUCUUUCUGAUUAAAUAAUUCAACUUUCCUGACUCAUGAAUUAAGUACUAUGUUGCAAAAUAUGGAGUCUUUUUUGUCAUCCAAGGAUUUCCAUUGCCCAGAGUGAUUAAUUUGAACAGUGAGUUUUCACUGUGGAGUAUUAAAGAUGCAAAUGGUGCAAAGCUGUGCUCUAACCAGGAAGGAAAAGCCUCCGAUGGCAGGGACAACCUCAGAAGAGAGUGGCCUAUGGCAGAGAGCUGCCUAGUGCUGUCUUCCAGUGGGAAGGAAAACUUGGGGCCCAGAAAGCAGGGCUGGGCUUGUCUGGGAGGGGUGUCAUCAUGGGGAGAUUCACUCUUGUAAAAUUUCCUCUCAGUUCCACCAAAGCACAUCCUAAGACAGACUGCAUCCAGAGUAAUCACAAGAUGUUAGGUGAGGCUUUAAAAAUCAUGAUGUCUAGGCCUCUCACUUUGCUGAUGAGGAAACUCAGUUCUGGAGAAGUGAGGAGACUUUCUCAGGGUUUCUAAGCAGGACUGGCAGAGCCAGGACUGGAACCCAGCUCUCCCACCUUGCCACACCAUGUUCUUUGCAUUCCAUGAUGGUACUGUCUACAUAAAAGAGGAACAUAUCAUUCAGCCAAGACCCAGGGACUCAAGAUUCUUAUAUUCUGAUCUUUGAUUAUGAAAGAUUAAAGAUUCAAAUUUCCUAUACCAUUUCCUUUAAGUACAUGCUGCAGUUUACCUAAAACUGUUCUGCUCACAGCCUGAAAGCAAGGGUCAGUCGUAUGGCCAGUGUCUCUUCCCUUCAGACUUAAUGAGGGUGGGAGGAUGGACACCUUCACUGUCCCAUUUUUGUUUUCUUUUGUAGUUAUUGCAGCUCAAGAGACCAAGGGAAUGCUGACUAUUUGACUUGGAGGUUUCAGGAGUCAAAUGUGCUUUGAUCAGUGUGAUACCUUAUCUCCAGACAUGCAGUUUCACACAAUCAUCAAAUUAAUUAUCAGGGAUUCCAGCUUUUCCUAUUGAAUCUUCACCAAAUUUUAGUGGCUCAAUCCCUGCAGGUUGCAAUGUCCAGCUCUUCAGCAGUGAGUAAAGACCAUCCAGUGGAGAAAGAAGGAAAAAUGUAGUUAGUGUUCUAAUUGAUAGAGCAUUUACUUCCUCUGGCCUGGUUCACCUAAACAUACUUGUAGUCAGAAACUCAUCACUCCCCUAACUAAUCCACAUAUCUAUUUGCCAGGCACCUUUUGUACAGCACUCUUAAAUCCCAAGAGCUUUUGUGAUGGGGAUGCUUUUUAAGGAAUCCGUCAAGAAUUGGAGAGGGGUCUUAAUGCUUCCAAAGUCAGCAGCCCAUUGUUGAAGACGAUUGAAGAGUCCCAUCCCACAUUCCUGACUUCCAUAUGCAUUCUGACAGUGACAUUAUUCAUGCCAAGGUGAGGUCAGUGGCCGCACACCCCCAGCCAUGGCAGUAGAGAGUGGCAUUAACUUUGAACUUCACCCUCCCAGCUCAGAGCCAGGGCUACCCUGAAAGCUGUAUCUCAGAAGGCUGCACAAAGCGGCAGGUGUUUAAAGAAGCAAAGAGGCAAAGCAUGUUGUUAGGAAAAAUUGUCCCCAAGCCCUGAAUUGGCCUUUUAUCACCAUCACUCUGGCUUAAAAACCCCUGUAAUGUGUGGCUUUCAAAAAGGGGGAGCUAAGUUUAGUGGCUGAUGCCCUGCCAAGAGCUUUAUAAUGCAUAGAAUAAAAAAAGAUGAAACGUUUCUCCAGCUACAUUGCUUUCCCCCCCCACCCUGAUUCCCUUCCCUGGGGGGAGAAUCAUAAACACAGACAGCAGAAUGACGCCCCUUUAUUAUUCCUCUGAGCUCUUUCUCUGCAGAUGACCUAUAGAAGUGAUUUAACAUAGAACUGUUGGAGUUCCCACACUUCCGCGUGUUCCUCCGGCCGAGGCUGGUUGAUUUCUUUGGGGUGUUAUAACUAUGACCUGCUCCAUUAAGUAGCAAACAAAGUCCAGCUGGAUAUAUCAAGCUCAGCUGGACUCUUUGCUUUCACACAACCUGCUUGAUUAGGAGAAUCGCUGUGCCCUUGUCACACGGCGCCUCGUGCAGUCUGCAAAGAUUGGGCUGCCAUUGAUUUCUGCAUAAUAUGGAUUCACACUGCCUUUCCACAACAGCGUGGCUUUCACACCCCACAAUAACCUGGCAAGGAUUGUUUUUUCUUUCCAAUCUUCUGCUGCUUCAGACUUACACUGGAGUUUAGUUCUAAAAAUUUGUCCCUCCUAGAGGUAAUGUGUGGCUUAUUACCCAGCACUUUACGACGCAUUAAUUGCAGCUUGAUUUAGACAUUUCCCAUUUGGUGACUUAGUUACAAUUGUACAAACAUGUCAUGCUCUAAGUCAAUAACGUGGGGGCAGAAAAAGAGCAAAACAACUGUGAAUGCCUUGUUCUUCUCAUGGGAAGGACCAGGGCAAUUGUUACAGUAACAUGAUGCUAUUUGUUUACUGGGAAGGGGUGUUUAUCUAGCUCCUUUCCUUAGAGUUGUUAUUCACCCUGGACCAGUUGUCUUCAGUAGCCUUACCUUUCAUUUCUACGCCUAUUUCCUUGUUAGAGAAAAACCCACAAAGCUUAAAAAUUAGUUCAGCAAGGUAGAGAAGUUUUAUUAAACACGCCAAGAUAUUUCACAUAAUAUGCCAAUCAAGGGGACAAAAUAUGGCAUUUGGUUAGCCAACUCUUACCUUGAUUCCAUUAUGAUUUUAAUUUAAGGCACCUUUCUUACAUGAUUAAGGAAGAAUGAGUCAGAGUCAUUUCAGUGUUAUGUACAUAGUGAUUAUUAGUGCCUAUAAUGAAAAAUUGAAAAAUAACAUAAACUACUGGAAUAUCCACUGUAGAAAUCCAACAAUGAAGUUGUAAUAAAUAAAUUAUGGCUUAUUCAUACUGUGGAACAAUAUUCAGUCAUUAAAAUGAUUUAAAAUUAUAUUUUAUUAGAUGUUAUAUUAUUUAGUGAGAAAAGU